UGGGGAAUAUUGCACAAUGGGGGAAACCCUGAUGCAGCGACGCCGCGUGAACGAAGAAGGUAUUCGUAUCGUAAAGUUCUGUCCUAUGGGAAGAUAAUGACAGUACCAUAGAAGAAAGCUCCGGCUAAAUACGUGCCAGCAGCCGCGGUAAUACGUAUGGAGCGAGCGUUGUCCGGAAUUAUUGGGCGUAAAGGGUACGCAGGCGGUUUAAUAAGUCGAAUGUUAAAGAUCGGGGCUCAACCCCGCAAAGCAUUGGAAACUGAUAAACUUGAGUAGUGGAGAGGAGAGUGGAAUUCCUAGUGUAGUGGUGAAAUACGUAGAUAUUAGGAGGAAUACCAGUAGCGAAGGCGACUUUCUGGACACAAACUGACGCUGAGGUACGAAAGCGUGGGGAGCAAACAGG
This 403-nucleotide ribosomal RNA is filed under the name bacterium. Its description in RNAcentral is "partial 16S ribosomal RNA". It matches the Rfam family "Bacterial small subunit ribosomal RNA", at positions 355 to 776 of the family's 1533-position model. The record is from RNAcentral.